RNAcentral lists this ribosomal RNA (123 nucleotides) under Crocodylus porosus (Australian saltwater crocodile). The record is from RNAcentral. Lineage: Eukaryota; Metazoa; Chordata; Crocodylia; Crocodylidae.
UAAUUCUGCCUAGGCAAUCCAGAUAUAGCAACACUGUGCUAGCACAUGAAAAAAAUCAGAUCACCACUGGUCAGUACUUGAAUGGGAGAUCUCCAGGGAAGGCCCAACCUGCUGCAGAAUAGU